Long non-coding RNA from Xiphophorus maculatus (southern platyfish), 261 nucleotides. RefSeq lists it as uncharacterized. NCBI's taxonomy places the organism in Eukaryota, Metazoa, Chordata, Actinopteri, Cyprinodontiformes, Poeciliidae. The record is from RefSeq and is a predicted model, not a curated record. The transcript has 3 exons.
GGAGGAAGAUAAGAGAACCCAGUUGACAAAAAAAAUUGACCAGCAAUUAAAGCAGAAGACCUGCUCCACCUGCUAAUCUACUGGUUGUAAAAGAUUGUGGAAACGCAUUACUGAGAUAAGACAACAGGAUUGGACCAAUCAGGAGAGAGGACUGAGGAGACACAGAAAAUCCUGUUGAAAAUCCCGAGAUCCCAGGUUGGGUCUCCUCGUAUUAGCAUCUAACCGGGGCGACCCCAACCAUCAUUCCGGUGCCAAAGAAAC